This 490-nucleotide ribosomal RNA is filed under the name uncultured bacterium. Its description in RNAcentral is "partial 16S ribosomal RNA". It matches the Rfam family "Bacterial small subunit ribosomal RNA", at positions 30 to 507 of the family's 1533-position model. The record is from RNAcentral.
AUUGAACGCUGGCAGCAGGCCUAACACAUGCAAGUCGAACGGUAACAGGAAGAAGCUUGCUUCUUUGCUGACGAGUGGCGGACGGGUGAGUAAUGUCUGGGAAACUGCCUGAUGGAGGGGGAUAACUACUGGAAACGGUAGCUAAUACCGCAUAACGUCGCAAGACCAAAGAGGGGGACCUUCGGGCCUCUUGCCAUCGGAUGUGCCCAGAUGGGAUUAGCUAGUAGGUGGGGUAACGGCUCACCUAGGCGACGAUCCCUAGCUGGUCUGAGGGGAUGACCAGCCACACUGGAACUGAGACACGGUCCAGACUCCUACGGGAGGCAGCAGUGGGGAAUAUUGCACAAUGGGCGCAAGCCUGAUGCAGCCAUGCCGCGUGUAUGAAGAAGGCCUUCGGGUUGUAAAGUACUUUCAGCGGGGAGGAAGGGAGUAAAGUUAAUACCUUUGCUCAUUGACGUUACCCGCAGAAGAAGCACCGGCUAACUCCGUG